This 445-nucleotide ribosomal RNA is filed under the name uncultured bacterium. Its description in RNAcentral is "bacterial SSU rRNA". It matches the Rfam family "Bacterial small subunit ribosomal RNA", at positions 354 to 796 of the family's 1533-position model. The record is from RNAcentral.
GUAGGGAAUAUUGGGCAAUGGAUGCAAGUCUGACCCAGCCAUGCCGCGUGGAGGAAGAAGGUCCUCUGGAUUGUAAACUCCUUUUUUGGGGGAAGAAUAGUUCUCUUGCGAGGGAAUGUGACGGUACCCUAAGAAUAAGCCACGGCUAACUACGUGCCAGCAGCCGCGGUAAUACGUAGGUGGCAAGCGUUGUCCGGAUUUAUUGGGUUUAAAGGGUGCGUAGGUGGUUUGAUAAGUCAGUGGUGAAAGCUGGUUGCUCAACAAUCAAGUUGCCAUUGAUACUGUCGGACUUGAGAGAAGUGGAGGUUCAUGGAAUGGAUGGUGUAGCGGUGAAAUGCAUAGAUAUCAUCCAGAACGUCGAUUGCGAAGGCAGUGGGCUGUACUUUAUCUGACACUGAGGCACGAAAGUGUGGGGAUCAAACAGGAUUAGAUACCCUAGUAGUCC